Molecule: non-coding RNA, 62 nt
Organism: Geobacillus sp. B4113_201601
Lineage: Bacteria; Bacillati; Bacillota; Bacilli; Caryophanales; Anoxybacillaceae
Source: Rfam
CCUUCGGAGCACCACAUCCAACGAGAGUAGCUUUGGCGAAAUCGGGUGCGAUGAACAAGGAA